UGCCAGCUGACAGAGACAUGGUUCUCAUCCAUCAGCACAUGCAGCGCACCUUUCCACUCCCCCGUGAAGAGAUUGUGACGUUAGCUCCUCCCAUCGCAUAAUUGAAAGAUAGAUGGCCUGCCCUCUUCUCUGAAGCUCAACUCUAUGGCGAAUUCCAUAGGAUCACAAAUCAAAGCCUUCAAUAUUCCUUCUUCGCUGCGCUCGAUAAAAACACGACACAGCUGCUCAAACUCUACAAAGAGAGGAAGACUGGAGCUUUUGGUGAGAAGAUGGCAGAUCUGCUGAUGGCAUAUGAGGAGCAGGACAAGAAUGACAUCAGUGCAACGAGAACAGCAGCACUGGCAGGGCUGCCACUACCUAAAAGAAGACUCAUCAGUGAUCUUAAAGAGUUGCAAGGAGGAGGAAUUCGAAGCAUUCCAGGAGGGUGCAGUGGCGCUGUUGGCUGUGGUGGCUGAAGAGGACACGGCUGCAGGGAUUCCCUUUCAACCUCUUCAUGUCUCAGUCAUCCUGGAGGGUCAGGUGGUUAUGACUCUCAGAUCUUGGACUGAUGCACUGGUGGUGUUGUUCAGCUUGGUUUAUGCUCUCAAUUUGAGCUAUGCGGCGCAGCUGAGUGGCUUUUUUGACUUUAUUCAGGUUGUCCUAUUAAAUCUAGACGAUACAAGAAAGCAGCUCAAACCUAAGUUGCAGGCCUUAAAAAAAUCAGCUGGUGUAAACGGGGGAUGUCCUGCACCAAUACUUCCAGCAGUCAUGGUUUAAAAUUGCUUGUUGUUGGCUGCUGAGAUUAGUUAUGUCCCAUCCUGUUCCAGAGGAAAUGAAAGAGCGCACCUAGUUAAAUUAGGUAGCAUAGUUAGUUAAGUUAAGAUAGUUCUUAAGCAAGCCCAACAUUUUGUUAAUAGAGGGGAAUGGAUAGGAGACAGGAAUGGAGAGGAGACAGGAAUGGAGAGAAAAUAAUUUUAAAUAAAUGAUAAUAUGUUUUUAAAAAAACGUUUCAACGUUUCAGUUUGUUGUGAGCAAAAUGUAUUUGUUCAGUGAUUUCAUUUUUUGUAAAGAUUGUAUUUUUUGUAAUGAUUGAAUUUUUUGUAAUUUCAUAAUGUGUAAUAAUGGCAUAAUGUGUAAUGUUGUGGUCAAAGAAUCAUAUUUGUUCAAAUAAAUGUAUUGUAUCUAA
Molecule: long non-coding RNA, 1165 nt
Organism: Pseudoliparis swirei
Lineage: Eukaryota; Metazoa; Chordata; Actinopteri; Perciformes; Liparidae
Exons: 4
Source: RefSeq, a predicted model, not a curated record